This 397-nucleotide ribosomal RNA is filed under the name uncultured bacterium. RNAcentral describes it as "partial 16S ribosomal RNA". It matches the Rfam family "Bacterial small subunit ribosomal RNA", at positions 523 to 918 of the family's 1533-position model. The record is from RNAcentral.
AUACGUAGGGGGCGAGCGUUGUCCGGAAUGAUUGGGCGUAAAGGGCGCGUAGGCGGCGCGGUAAGUCUGGAGUGAAAGUCCUGCUUUCAAGGUGGGAAUUGCUUUGGAUACUGCCGCGCUUGAGUGCAGGAGAGGUUAUCGGAAUUCCCGGUGUAGCGGUGCAAUGCGUAGAGAUCGGGAGGAACACCAGUGGCGAAGGCGGGUAACUGGACUGCAACUGACGCUGAGGCGCGAAAGUGUGGGGAGCGAACAGGAUUAGAUACCCUGGUAGUCCACACUGUAAACGAUGAAUGCUAGGUGUAAGAGGUAUCGACCCCUUUUGUGCCGGAGUCAACACAAUAAGCAUUCCGCCUGGGGAGUACGGCCGCAAGGUUGAAACUUAAAGGAAUUGACGGGG